RNAcentral lists this ribosomal RNA (253 nucleotides) under uncultured bacterium. RNAcentral describes it as "partial 16S ribosomal RNA". It matches the Rfam family "Bacterial small subunit ribosomal RNA", at positions 524 to 776 of the family's 1533-position model. The record is from RNAcentral.
UACGUAGGGUCCGAGCGUUGUCCGGAAUUACUGGGCGUAAAGAGCUCGUAGGCGGCUUGUCGCGUCGACUGUGAAAACCCACGGCUCAACUGUGGGCUUGCAGUCGAUACGGGCAGGCUAGAGUUCGGUAGGGGAGACUGGAAUUCCUGGUGUAGCGGUGAAAUGCGCAGAUAUCAGGAGGAACACCGAUGGCGAAGGCAGGUCUCUGGGCCACUACUGACGCUGAGAAGCGAAAGCAUGGGGAGCGAACAGG